AUUGAACGCUGGCGGCAUGCUUUACACAUGCAAGUCGAACGGCAGCGCGGGCUUCUGCCUGGCGGCGAGUGGCGAACGGGUGAGUAAUGCAUCGGAACGUGCCCAGUAGUGGGGGCUAGCCCGGCGAAAGCCGGAUUAAUACAGCAUACGACCUGAGGGUGAAAGCGGGGGUCCGAUAGGGCUCGCGCUAUUUGAGCGGACGAAGUCGGGGUUGCUCGCUGGUGGGGUAAAGGCUUACCAAAGCGACGUUCCGUAGCUGGUCUGAGAGGCCGACCAGCCACACUGGGACUGAGACACGGCCCAGACUCCUACGGGAGGCAGCAGUGGGGAAUUUUGGACAAUGGGGGCAACCCUGAUCCAGCCAUGCCGCGGGCGGGAAGAAGGCCUUCGGGUUGUAAACCGCUUUUGUUCGGGAAGAAAUCCUCUGGGCUAAUACCCCGGGGGGAUGACGGUACCGUAAGAAUAAGCACCGGCUAACUACGUG
This 484-nucleotide ribosomal RNA is filed under the name uncultured bacterium. RNAcentral's name for it is "partial 16S ribosomal RNA". It matches the Rfam family "Bacterial small subunit ribosomal RNA", at positions 28 to 507 of the family's 1533-position model. The record is from RNAcentral.